GCUUGUCAGCCGGCAAUUAAUAUAAAGCUCUAGUUGUCAACCACUAGUCUACUACACCCACUUAUUUCUUAAAAGAAAAUAGGAAAAAAGGAAAAAAACAAACCACCCCUACCCCCACAUGUCUUAUCUUCUUCAUCUCUCUUCUUUCUUUUUCUCAUCUUCUGCAUCUCUCUUUUUCUCUCAUGAAAUCUGCUUGAGCCUUGAGGACGUCUGCUUUGCUGCUUGAAGAAUUGAAGAUUGCAAAUUGAAAGCCCAGAAAGUAUUCAAACUUCAAAGCACUAUGUUGGAGAGAGAGAGAGAGAAUAGAGGGAGAGAGGCUGUGCGGCAAGGUUGGUGUAUAGGUUUCUGAUCGGUUUGGUUUUGUGUUUUGUGGAAGAGUUGA
This 382-nucleotide long non-coding RNA is filed under the name Rosa chinensis. RNAcentral describes it as "sRNA RchiOBHm_Chr0c45g0503811". Lineage: Eukaryota; Viridiplantae; Streptophyta; Magnoliopsida; Rosales; Rosaceae. The record is from RNAcentral.